RNAcentral lists this ribosomal RNA (121 nucleotides) under Pteropus alecto (black flying fox). The record is from RNAcentral. Lineage: Eukaryota; Metazoa; Chordata; Mammalia; Chiroptera; Pteropodidae.
AUUCUCAGUCUAAUGCUACUCUGAACAUGCCCCAUCCCGUCAGAUCUCAGAAGCAAAGGAGGGUCAGGCCUGGUUAGCACUUGGAUGGGAGACCACCUAAGGAGACUAGGUGCUGUAGGUG